CUGUUAGGUACACUUUUGUGUUG
This 23-nucleotide non-coding RNA is filed under the name Arabidopsis thaliana (thale cress). Lineage: Eukaryota; Viridiplantae; Streptophyta; Magnoliopsida; Brassicales; Brassicaceae. The record is from RNAcentral.